UUGUGCCUGCUAUUAUAUGUCACAAGCUUUCAGAUUGGAACCUAACGAACUGAUUCUUUCUUCUUUACUAAAGUGUCUGUGAUAACGGAAUGGUCUCUCUCCUGGGAAAUGUUUAAUGAACUAGCAAUAUGACGCCGAGUCAUGCGCCCGUCGGCCAUCAACAUACCGUGGAUUCUCUGGAUCAUUCCUGGUGAUGAUGUGACAGCCCUUCAAGGACGGGGCUCGUCUUCAAGCUCCUCUCUGUCACCCUGCUGCCCAACUUGUUUUGGUGGCAUAGAAAGUGACAUCCUUCCCUAGAAUCUUCAUGGAUGGCGUUUGGUGUAAAGCCCCUUUUCUGCAACGUUUUCCACAGCAAUUGUGAAAACAAACCACCAACUAUUUCAGUCCCUUGCCCAGCCAUGUUUGUUCUAUGUUUUAUGCAUGUAACUAGUCGUGGAACUCAACACGUAUUUACGAUGUUGUAAAGCUUAACCUUGAACUGUCCGUUGCACUCGGACCAAAGUCGUUAUUGUUCAAGUAAACUGUAUCAUAAUGACAAUUACGAUUGCUUACCAAUGAGCGCGGCGUUCGUGACGUGCCAGCCAGAUAUAUGUACUGUACAAAGGGUACUCCAAUCACCCCGUGAACAAGGCUCUCAUUACAACCUCGUUUCUUGAUAAUCAUAUCAACUUGUCAUGCAUUGACAACUGUAGCGUCUACAAUCUCGUCAGACAUGUUCUACGGUGUGAUUGUCAUUUUUCUAUACGUACAGAAUUUGGAUGGCAUUCCAUGGCCUCUAGAGACUGCGACCGGGUGUUAUGGAAAUACUCAAGAUGACUUCCUCAUACCAUCAUGCAAUACUUCAUACGUUAUGGCCGUCAGUGGAGUGUUUGCAAUGGCAAAGGAACGGAACACACAUUGUCCCGAAAUAGCGCUGCCCGAUGACAGAGAUGAGGAGAAAUGCUGUCGAGUAGCGCCAGAGGAUUGUAAAAUGAUUUACACAGCCUCAGAUAUGACGUUUCAUUCAGAAUGCAUUGGAUUGGAGACUUGCAAGAAAAAAGUAGCUUGGGCUGUCACCACAUGCAAUACUACUAUCUUUCUUGACAAAUCAAAUUAUAUGAUGAUGGAAUUCUACUGCAUUGCAAGGUCUUUGAUCCUCAAUGUGAGCGACACAGAAGCAGGUACAACGAAAGGAUCCGCUGUGUAUGUACAAAACCAAGGCUAUCCUAGUUCGUCAGAAAUAGGAGGAUCCUGCAGCGUCUCCUCCUCCUGCAAUGCCACCAUAGUGGUAACUGCCAUACACCUCAGUCUUAACGUUAGCAGCAGCUGUUCACAACAUCUGGAUAUCACAGAUGGAAGCGUGAAUCAGAUAAUAAACUGUUCACAGAACAACGGUGCCGAUUUUGCUUUUAAAGAUCUGUACACAAGCACCAGCCAUUUCCUUUUUUUUGAGUUUACUACCCUCGUGCCUGGCGACAAGGGGAAGCUGUGGAUAGAGGUUAGAGGUUCAAAUCCAUAUUCGAUCAUGGACCUGCGAUGUGGGUCGUCUGCAGUUUCUACACCUCCGCCUGUAGACGAAUGCCCUGUUUACACAACUAGAACGCUGUCAACGACAUCAAAACCAGCGUCAACAACUACAGCAUUAUCUCAUAUGUUGUCAACGUCGGAAAGGACAUUUUCCAGCAUCCCCGGAAAGCCUAUGCAAAACUGGCAGAUAGGAUUACUCGUCACAGGAGUACUUGCAUUGAUAGGUUUCGUGGCACUACUUACUUGUUUUUUCCUGAAGAAAAAGAGUGCGAACAAGGUAGACCUAGCUACCGCGACAGAUCGGAAGGACAGUGAUGGACUGCCUACUUACCUCUAUGGCCCAGAGCCGGAGAUAACUACACAGACUGCACCAGUGCAAGGACUGCUGAUAUCGAUAUACUCGCAAUGGUCGCCCAGACAAACAGAAAAUAUGCGCGCUUCUUCAAAUGAUCGUGUUCCAAAGGAUCUUUGGAGGUUCGACGAUCCCAGAAUACAGAAUAAACCGAGUGGUGGUCGGACAACACUUCCUGCAGUUCGAGUAGCUGGACAACCAACAGCUCCUGUACUACACAGUGUGCUGCCAUCAUCAAGGGCAGCAUCGCUAAAUGGUCAUGUUGUUAACGACACCGUUGCGGGAGAUGUGGAACAGGGUGAACAUAUGCAGCCAGAAAGGAAGAGUAAAAAAAAGAAGCGGAAGAGAGACAAAAUUAAUGAAGAUGACUGCAGUGCUACAGAAGGUGAAACUAGGAAAAAGAAGAAAAAAAAGAAGAAAAAGAGCGCAACCGAUCAUGUUGCAGAUGAAGAAUUGUGAAAUUGUUUUAUUUUGUCAACAGAAGAAGCCAAUGAUUUUGUGGUUGUGUUAUGACUUUAACGACAGUUCCACAGUCCCUUUGACACUAACGGGCAUUAAAUGGUAUUGCUCUUAAUUCGUACAAGUGAAGCAAAAUAUGUCGUUUAAACCGUGUAUAACUAUUGCAUUUUCAUCAAAAGAAUGUUAAACACAACAUCCCGGACAACCUUUUUCAGUUAUUUGCCUGGAAAUGCAAUUUACGCUGGUACUAUAAUUUAAAUUACAUUUUAAUUCAAAACUUAAAUUCGAAACACAUCUGAGUAAAUGCAGUGAAAAGGAUUUUUAAAACAUAUUUUAUUCAUAAAAGUGUGACAAUGAGAAGAGUUGCUCGAGUUUUGAUAAUGUUGUUGCAUACAAGCACAUAUACAUCGCAUGCAAAAUCAAUUUGUGGUCGAAUAAAUAUUGUACAUGUCAUGAUCAGUAUUUAUCUUUUUAUAAUAUUAUUAUACAUUUCGUCACAGAACAAACCAGUCUGCAGUAUACCCAAUACACCAGUCUAUGUGGGAAGGCCACUUGAUGUCUGAAAUAAUUCUAAUAUGUGUUGGAAUUUAAACAAUAGAUAUAUUUUGAUAAUUAUUCAAAAGCCUUUAUAUAUAUAUUCUAUUUUUGUGUGAGAGUUUUACGGGAGUUGAAACAAAUGAGCUAGGUUUUCUCCCAUUUAUUCAACUUCGAUACAUUGGAAUUAAUCUUUUCAAGUGAGAUAUGAUUUAUUUUCAGUUUCAAAGACCAGAGCCUGUAUACAACACAUCAGUACAUAAACAUUUUACUAACAUAUAACAUAGAACACAUGAUAUUAUUAUUGAUGAAGGGACUUAUGAAGCUUCCUUGUUUUCAAUAUGUAUUUUGAUAGCUGUACAGUUGUAAAGUUACAAUUAGAAAACAUAAGAUUUACAAAAACGUCAAUUGAAAGUUUUAUGGAAUAAUUAGAAUCAAUGUAGAUUAGUCUUUUGCCAGUAAAGAAUUGAUAUUCGUUUUUAAUCGUUCUAACGAUAUCGACAUACAAUAUUUACAUAAUCUGUAUUUUUGGUCGAGGCCUAUGUGGAACAACUAUGGAUAACUUGUGACUCAUCCUAUCAGGACCCGACGCUUUAUUUACGCAUGACAUUUUUAUGGUAGUAUUUAUUAUAAUACACUCUAGAGACUGACAUGUAGUCAUAACCCAAUGUGUGCUGAACGAUACAACUAUAUGGUCAUAUCUGGUGUCAUGCACAUUAAUAAGCGCAAUGCCCAAUGUGGCAUAAAUAGUUGGCAAAUAAAUCUAUGCGAUAUGCAAAUCAUGUAAUCGAUAUGUGAAUGUAAACAUCAGUUCCUUUGAAUCCAGCCUUACGUCAUACGUUCACAUGGUUGAAUGCAUUCUGAUAUCCUUUCAACUAACUAUCUUGCAUGCUAAUUGACGAGACCAAAGUUCUCUACCAACUUGCGGAGUUGCCCCAGUAUAUAUACCUCAUUUGUUGGCUGUGUCAAGCAUAUCUAUACAACUAUCAAUACAGCGUAUUAUGAUCACAUGGUAUAUUCAAUAUUGAUUGUAAGACGUACUUUGAUAGAUCGACAUUCGUGGGUAACCAUGCGCUCAUAAAGACGUAUUCGGUCUCGCACAUUUGGAGCGACAGACCUCCUCUGAAGGGUGUUUGGUUUCUGUUCCGGAUAGAUCUACGAAUGAUAAUGAAUACGUUUUGUCUUUGUAUGGUGACCUUGUCUUCGUACUUACAUUGUGCAGUGUCGCUCGAGGCUGUUGGUUGUUAUGGCAACACAGCGGACGAUUUCCUAAUCCCCAGAUGUGAUUCGGACAAAGUCAUCGCCGUAGAUAACUUGUAUGCUAUUGCCAAGAAAGUGUCUUCCAACUGCCCCCAAGAGUAUACAACCAGUGUAGUGGCGAGCAGGCAGAUGUGUUGCUCAAAGAACCCUGAAGACUGUGUGAUGGACUACAGGGGCAUCAGUGACUACCACACCGUCUGUGCCGGGGCGUCCUAUUGUACCAAGAAGGUAGCAUGGCAGGA
RNA transcript from Haliotis rufescens (red abalone), 4353 nucleotides. RefSeq lists it as uncharacterized. Lineage: Eukaryota; Metazoa; Mollusca; Gastropoda; Lepetellida; Haliotidae. The transcript has 7 exons. The record is from RefSeq and is a predicted model, not a curated record.